UGAAUGGUCUACAUAGCAAAAACCUACCUUG
Molecule: non-coding RNA, 31 nt
Filed under: Rattus norvegicus (Norway rat)
Lineage: Eukaryota; Metazoa; Chordata; Mammalia; Rodentia; Muridae
Source: RNAcentral